GUGGGUAGUUUGACUGGGGCGGUCUCCUCCCAAAGCGUAACGGAGGAGCACGAAGGUUAGCUAAUCCUGGUCGGACAUCAGGAGGUUAGUGCAAUGGCAUAAGCUAGCUUGACUGCGAGCGUGACGGCGCGAGCAGGUGCGAAAGCAGGUCAUAGUGAUCCGGUGGUUCUGAAUGGAAGGGCCAUCGCUCAACGGAUAAAAGGUACUCCGGGGAUAACAGGCUGAUACCGCCCAAGAGUUCAUAUCGACGGCGGUGUUUGGCACCUCGAUGUCGGCUCAUCACAUCCUGGGGCUGAAGUAGGUCCCAAGGGUAUGGCUGUUCGCCAUUUAAAGUGGUACGCGAGCUGGGUUUAGAACGUCGUGAGACAGUUCGGUCCCUAUCUGCCGUGGGCGCUGGAGAAUUGAGGGGGGCUGCUCCUAGUACGAGAGGACCGGAGUGGACGCAUCACUGGUGU
RNAcentral lists this ribosomal RNA (455 nucleotides) under Klebsiella pneumoniae. Its description in RNAcentral is "partial 23S ribosomal RNA". It matches the Rfam family "Bacterial large subunit ribosomal RNA", at positions 2261 to 2715 of the family's 2925-position model. RNAcentral also lists the same sequence under 1 other name. Lineage: Bacteria; Pseudomonadati; Pseudomonadota; Gammaproteobacteria; Enterobacterales; Enterobacteriaceae. The record is from RNAcentral.